RNAcentral lists this unclassified non-coding RNA (3592 nucleotides) under Dendronephthya gigantea. RNAcentral describes it as "uncharacterized LOC114530958, transcript variant X3". Lineage: Eukaryota; Metazoa; Cnidaria; Anthozoa; Malacalcyonacea; Nephtheidae. The record is from RNAcentral.
UCCUGACCUGUUAUAUGAACGAUGAUAGUAAAUCCAAGAGGAAUAAUGGUGUAAAUAUAAAGGUAAAAACAAACCGUAAUUGUCCAAUUUCAAGCUGCAAGAGGAUUUUAAAUACUUUGAAUUAAUAUUAGGUGAAAUAUGCGUUUGAUAUUUGCGUACGGUGUUUUAGUGCUAACGGUGAUCGUAUCAUUUUCAAGAGGGGAAGUGAAAUGGCCAAGUGGAACGUACGGAAUACCUCAGCCUCAGAUUGGUUGCCCGGAUGAUACUGACCUCAAGUGGAAAACUGGGUGGACUUACCACGAUACAGAGGAUGACAGUCCAGCCAAUCAGCGGUCGACCGUUUCUCACAUGGCAGGAAACUUUACCCAACAUGGUAUUCAACAGAAGUUCUGUAUCAAGGAUAGCGCUGCUGGGGGUAGUGAGUUUUGGCCAGAUGGGAAAUACUGUCUCUAUAAAAAAGGCGUCUGUCCCACUGGCCUCAAAGAAGGAUUUAUCCGAUGGGACGAUGAACAAUCAGGUAUCGACCAAAACAACGCGAAUUACGGCAAUCUUCCUGACGGAAUAUAUGAGAAAACCAACACAACUAUUAAGUAUUGCUGUAGUACCAAAGGAAACGUUAAUAAUCCUAUCAAACUACCAAAUCUCAGACCCUUCUACUUGCUCACCUAUGAUUCGACUCAAUGUCAAAAAGUUCGAGGGAUGAGAGUCACCUCAGAGUUUGUCAAGUUUGAUGAUGAUGAUCAGGGAAACACUGACGGUACCGGGGGUGCGUACCCCUAUGGGCCAAGUGAAGAUCCAUUCAACUUAAAGAUAUAUUAUUGUUACUACGAGCCAGGGCAAGAGAACACGGAAGACCUGGGAAUUGGAAAACAAGCUAAGGAUGGAUCGUCUGGGAGGGCGUCACCAGCAAUCGCUGUCGCUGUAGGGUGUGGUGUUGCUGGAACGAUUGUUGGCGCAGCAACUGUGGCAUUUAUCAUCAAAAAAAAGUUAGCCAAGCGCAGAAAGCCUGCAUAUGAUGCUGUCCUCGAGACCGAAGAUCUCAUUGGAGAAUAAAAUAUUCACGGCGAGAAACCGGAGACGAUAGUUUCAAUAAAUUGUACACUAUACUUGUACAAUGUAGCGUUUUUGCAAAAAUACUUCAUCAAUUGGAUUAAUCUACCUGAAAAAUAUACAUAGAAAAUGCCUGCACGAGGCAUUAACGUUUUUCGUACAUUUUUCAGGCAGAUUGAUCCAAAGGACCCGAAGCUUAUGGUCCAGGCCUUCUCCAACAAAAUCUUAGAAAAAAUUUUAGAAAACGGCGGUUUUAUAUUCUUCUGGAUCUUUUCUUACAAAACUGACAUAAUCUUUGUAGCAAACACGAUGUUUAUCCUAUAAAUAUAUUUCCUGGAAAAUCAUGGUAAACUUUGCAGAAAACACCUUAUCUAUUCUCCUUAUUCGAUGAGUCGAAGUUGUUCAAUAGCUGAGGAACUAGCGCAUGAAUAUGUUCUUUAUGUCAGCGUUUUCUUAAUUUAUCAGCAAAAAUCGUGUUUUAUAACCACAUGUUCAAGAUCAGCAGGCUUAAAUGAAGCCCAAGUUUAGCACUAACCGCGGGCUUAGAACAACCAACCGCGGGAUGUUAAAGUUAAACCGCGCACAAAUAUUCAUGACAUAAAUAUAUUGGGAACAUGAUUAGGUACCUCUCUGCAUGUCUUAAGUUCUUGCCCUCAUCUUAUCUGAACAGUCUGACCAUUUCUAGGGGAGAAUACCGCAGAAAUAACCGUAAAGCUUCCAAAUGCAGAUUUUGUUAAUGAAUAAAAACACGUGGUAUUUUUAAAGAAAGAAAAUUAUAUUACACUGAAGUUUUGCGCUACAUGCAGCCGUUACUGGUUACGGACCUGCUCACCUCUGCCAAAUCACUACUAAAAAUAAAUCUAUAAAGAUGUUUCUGGCAAUGUAUUAGCAGGUAACGUCGAAUGUUGACAUGAAAUUAUAUUUUCCAAAUCAAAUUUUAAGAGCAAACCGUUGAUCGUGAAUGGUUUUAUGAUUGAUGAUUUGAUGUACGAAUGUAUGAAUCUGUCUUCGUGAUAUGAAUUUGAUAUUGGCCUUGUUUAGUGUAUAUCUGACACGUUUCAUAGCUAAAUCCCAUAAGGAUACUGCGAUAUAUAAAGUCCAAGCAUCUGAAGGUGCGUGGUCAAACGAAUUGAACGAUCGACUUCAUAGGCAUUCGUGCAAAGCAGGACGUAUACAAAAAGAUACAACAUUGCUUCAUAAACUGAAAUCUGGUACAUUUACUGAGUUGGGGCAAGUCAAAGACCUCGAGGUCUGUGUGCUACAGUGCUGUGAGAGCAGACAUUGUGACCUAGCUUUGUUCAAGGAUCAUUUUUGCUAUGGAAUAACAUGUUAUAGCUCUCAGCAUUGCAAAACAGUGCCAGCGUAUCAUGAUGACAAGAUGAUUGCCGUCUUUUUGACUAAGGCGAAAACAAAUGUCACAAAACAAGAUACAAAGACCAACCAAUCAGGAGGAAGAAAGGCAAACAAGAAGCCAGCGGAGUUCGUCUUUUAUCCAUCAGAAUCCUCAUCUGACCUCGCCUUUUCUGUAAACCUCAGAAACAUUGCUCAACAUUAUAUAAAUGAUGAAAGUGUGAAAAAUAUCUUAACUGCCAAGGCAGAUGAGUAUCUGAACGAAAUAAAAAAUGAGUUAACUGGAGAACAAGAUGAACUUUUAGAUGGUCCUGGGGAUGUCGAAAGGCCAGGCAAGAAAAAUGCAGAACAAGGAGCUGUAGGAAUAACGGGUAUUGGGAAUAAAAAUGUGUCUCUAUUAGAAAAUUUCUUGUUAGGAAAUCACCCAACUCAGCACAGUCGAACUGAAAGCUCGGGAAAGAGAAGCGAAACCUUCCAUAAACUGACCAAAAAAGGUAUGACGACUGUCACUUUGGGGGCAAAACUUCUGAAAGCUGCUAUAUCAAGUUCUUCUGUGGCGAUAUUGAUUGUUCUCAUUGUUUUACUCGCCAUGACAAGAAGGAAACGAGAAUAGAAAUAUUAUUUUCACUUUUGGUUUGUGGUAUAACGAGUUUUCUGAACGGCGAGAAGAUCGGCAUCGUGCGAAGACAACAGCAUUUUUAUACAUAUUUUGUACUUCGUAAAUUGUGUUGGUAACCAAAGACAAGUAAUUCUGUUUAGCUGAUAAAGAUGCAAAAAAUUUUCAAUGUCGAAUGAAACAGCUUUUUCACACUCGGAAUCAAGAAUUCGUUUCAUUCUAGAUCAUUUACAAUAGGAUAAUUUUUGUGCAAUUACGUAGAAAAACCUACACCCGUAACGGGUCUACACAGUCGUAACGACUUUGUUACACGAUGCAAUUUUUUUUCUUGCGAUUCGCAAUGCAAUUAUACUUUUGAGAGAUGUAAAUUAGCUAAUGUAUGAAGAAUUUCAGAAUGUAUAAAUAAGAAAACAUCGGUGCGGUGUAGAAACAAAUAUUUUGUAGUUGCCAAAUUCACAUCUCUCGAAAGUAGAAAAAAAUGAAUCGUGUAACACGGCUUUUUUUUAAAUGACUUGAAAUAUGCGUUUAUCCGUAAUAGCACGAGAAAUUACUUAAUACUAUUACUUAAACUAAAUG